AGGAACUACCGAGGCCGACUCUCACUUUCUCCAGCACUUCCGCCUCCCCCAAGAGCACCGCCGGUCGCAACUGCCGGUUCCCGAUCUCAGAUCCGCCUCUGCCGCCGCCUCCCCCGAGAACCCCACCGUUCGCAGCCGCUGGGUCCCGAGCUCCCUCCACCUCUGGUUUAUCUUCACUGAGCUGAUUUGUGGAUCUACAAUAGGCCAAUUCGUGAACUCAACAAGCUGUUUUCCUCCUUUGUUACUGGUGGUGACUCGUUCCGCCGGUCGCUGCAUCUGUGCUCGGGAAUCCUCCGUCCGUUGAGACGAUUAGUUGAGCAUCAUCAGUCUUCUUCGUUGGGGCAAGAGUUGCCAGCUAAGGGAAAGUUGGACGAACAAUCUCAGGCCCGAUAAAAAACGUGGCCCUUUUACUCCCGCGAAGGAGAAUUAGUCAUUUAGCUUCAUGGAAUACUCGGUAGCAGGCACCUAUCUUACGCUCUCCGAGACUCCUGCCUGGUGCUUAGGCUGAAUAACCAAACUCAUUGGAUUAGGUUGGCCUAGUGGAGUAGAGACGAUAAAACCUCUGCUUGCUUUUGGAUCGCGAAUAGCUAAUAGAAUGGAAAGUACCCUUCUGGAGAUAUGUCAGUUACUGUUGUUUUAUGGCUCUUGACCUUUGAAGUCUUGGAAGGUCGAUAGUGGUUUGGCUCUCGAACAUUUUGUUCUGCCUAAGCAAGUUGAUGAUCGGUACUUAUCAUCUAACGAGAUGCAAAUUUGGUGAAGAAAUGGCCCAGAAUAAUGACACUGUCCAAGAUGAGCAAAUAAUGUAGCUUCUGCUGUGAAUUCUUAAGCUUGUGAAGGAUGACACUGUCCAAGAUGAGCAAAUAAUGUAGCUUCUGCUAUGAAUUCUUAAGCUUGUGAAGGAUGUGUUUGAAUUCCAGAUUAAGAAGCGCUCGCCUCUGCCUCAGCCACAUGAGCUCCACCGGCGGCAUUGAACCUGAUUAUUGCCAAGACUAUUGCUUAAUUCGAUGUUUUAAAGUCAGCAGUCAGUUAAUUCGCAUGCACAACGUUAUCCAAUAGCUAAAUCACAGGUAAUUCCAAACUCAUACUGUAUGAACGAUAUUUGCUUUCUCAAGAAAUGGAUGUGAUGUUAGUUUUCUUGUAAACGCACUAUGUGAAAUAUUUUUUGUUCCUUACUUGCUGUGUAAAAAUGUCCAUUUAGCACAUGUAACCCUGAUUUGGAAAAAAUCCUGAGUUUACAUUAGAUAUGGUUUUUGCAAGUGAAGUUGAAUAUAUCAUAAAUAUGUUGCCACGUAAUAGGCAAAUGAUUUGAACUAAAGAAAGCUAAGAUUAUUAUAAAAAAAUGAUCAAGGAGAAAUAAUUCAAUGGAUUUUUGUAUGUAAUUGUGAGGGGUAUUUUGUCAACUCAUUUGAUCAAGAGAACUUUAAGUUAAAUGUAAAUGUCCUACUUUGAUUAGAUUUAAGGUUGAAAAUGGCACUUAUGAAGUCAUAGAGUAUGGUCUCGAGCAUGAUCAUGAAUUUUUAUCAGAACGUCAAAAGCACUUGAUAAAAUGUGGAAGAAUGAUUUUUGAUGCUUGCAAGCAUGUUUUAGACGAUAUGGCUAAAGCUAGCAUUGGGGUCAGGGCAUAUAAGUUCUUGGCAAAUGAAAGAGAAGGAAGCCAAAACUUGGCUUUCAUCUUGCGCAAUUGUUAAAAAAUUUUGUAGACUAAAAGAUCAAAUCAUGUAAGUAGGGAAGAUUGUCAACAUUCUCUAAAUCAUUUUCAUUGCAUGCAAAUGCAAUAUUUAAUGUCUUUGUAUGUUGUACGAAUAGAUGAAGACGAGAUUGCAAAUUCAUUUACUUGGUUAUUUGAUAUUCUUUUAAAGUCUAGGAAAUAAGGCUUUAAAAACCAUUUUCACCAAUCAGGAUCAAUUCGAAUUGUGUUUCCAAAUACUCAACAUCAUUUAUACACUUGGCACACUAAGGAAAGUGCCAAUUAAAACAUUACAUAUUUUUACCACAAACUAAGAUUCAAGAAUAAAUAUUUAUAAAAAAAUUUAUGUAUAAAAUGCAAAUAAAAUGAUGAAUUUGAAUAUACUUGAAGUAAAAAUGAAAGAGGAGUGAGGGACUGAAAAUAGCAA
Eucalyptus grandis is the source of this 2114-nucleotide long non-coding RNA. RefSeq lists it as uncharacterized. The record is from RefSeq and is a predicted model, not a curated record. NCBI's taxonomy places the organism in Eukaryota, Viridiplantae, Streptophyta, Magnoliopsida, Myrtales, Myrtaceae. The transcript is spliced from 4 exons.